Molecule: ribosomal RNA, 442 nt
Filed under: Clostridioides difficile
Lineage: Bacteria; Bacillati; Bacillota; Clostridia; Peptostreptococcales; Peptostreptococcaceae
Description: partial 23S ribosomal RNA
Rfam family: Bacterial large subunit ribosomal RNA
Source: RNAcentral
AGACAUACAGGUCGAGCAAGGAUGAAAAUCGGACUUAGUGAUCCGGUGGUUCUGCGUGGAAGGGCCAUCGCUCAACGGAUAAAAGCUACCCUGGGGAUAACAGGCUUAUCUCCCCCAAGAGUCCACAUCGCCGGGGAGGUUUGGCACCUCGAUGUCGGCUCAUCACAUCCUGGGGCUGUAGUAGGUCCCAAGGGUUGGGCUGUUCGCCCAUUAAAGUGGUACGCGAGCUGGGUUCAGAACGUCGUGAGACAGUUCGGUCCCUAUCCGUCGCAGGCGUAGGAAAUUUGAGAAGACCUGUCCUUAGUACGAGAGGACCGGGAUGGACGUACCUCUGGUGUACCAGUUGUUCUGCCAAGGGCAUGGCUGGGUAGCUAUGUACGGAAUGGAUAAGCGCUGAAAGCAUCUAAGCGCGAAGCCAACUUCAAGAUAAGAUUUCCCACCG